RNAcentral lists this ribosomal RNA (253 nucleotides) under uncultured bacterium. RNAcentral's name for it is "partial 16S ribosomal RNA". It matches the Rfam family "Bacterial small subunit ribosomal RNA", at positions 524 to 776 of the family's 1533-position model. The record is from RNAcentral.
UACGGAGGUCGCGAACGUUACGCGGAUUUACUGGGCGUAAAGGGUGUGUAGGCGGCCUGGGAAGUGGCAUGUGAAAGGUCACGGCUCAACCGUGGAGCUGCCUUGCAUACUGCUAGGCUUGAAGGAGGGAGAGGGUGGCGGAAUUCCCGGUGUAGCGGUGAAAUGCGCAGAUACCGGGAGGAACGCCGGUGGCGAAGGCAGCCGCCUGGCUCUCUUGUGACGCUGAGGCGAGAAAGCGUGGGGAGCAAACCGG